CGCAAGCCCGCCCUGCAGUGCGCAUGCGCAGGGGAAAUCCAUCUCUGUUUUGUGCUGCUCUCUCGCCUUUCAGGACUUUCUCUCCAGAACUCAAGUCCUCACUUUCUUACUGAUGUGUUAUUCUUAGACUUAGCAGUACCAGUUGCAAGGUGGGUGAGGAGGUACUAACUGCAAAACCAAAAAAUAAAAAUAAAAUAAAAACUUGCAAAGAUCAAAAAAGAGGGGGAAAGCUUCCCAAAAUGUCCCUCUUCUUUCCUGGAAACUUUCAGGGAGCUCCAAAAAGAGGGAAGCCAGCAGGGGGACCCAACGCCAGCGGUGGACUCCAGGAGAUGCACUGCAGGAAUGGUUAAAUAAGAACAGAUGUUGGCUUUGCAGGCUGUACCUACAGACCAGCCUUGGCUGCAAAGCUUUGUAGGCAACUCACACCAAUUCUGACUCCAAAUCUGGAAAAUUCAAAUGGACUUCAAUUUAAUGGCACUCUUAUAACUUGUUCCUGACACAUUUACUUGGGAUGACUCUCUUUGUUCAGUGGGAUCUACAUGGCGAAACAUGCCGGCAUCCCCUUCAGUCUUUUUGGAGAGAUUACAGUCUGUUAACAGGAAGACCCUUUAGUAUGGAUUUGAGUCAGCAUACUUCCAAGAACUGCUUUCAAGGGCUGAAGAUAAUGAUAGCUUGAAAUAGCAUCUUCCUCUGAUCCAUGGGUUCUUCUCUGAGAGUCGAUCAAAGUGGGGAAGACAGAUGAGCAAACUCAACAACUUUUCUUCUGUACAGACACA
Molecule: long non-coding RNA, 776 nt
Organism: Anolis sagrei ordinatus
Lineage: Eukaryota; Metazoa; Chordata; Lepidosauria; Squamata; Anolidae
Source: RefSeq, a predicted model, not a curated record